Molecule: long non-coding RNA, 447 nt
Filed under: Pan troglodytes (chimpanzee)
Lineage: Eukaryota; Metazoa; Chordata; Mammalia; Primates; Hominidae
Description: long non-coding RNA NONPTRT005187
Source: RNAcentral
CGGCUCUGUGCCAAGCCCAGGUCAUGUUCCCAGCUUUGAACACAACUCUGUGGCCCUGACUUGAAUUUCUACCUCUGUAUCCUCCCAUCAAGUCUGUGGCCCACCCCUCUCCCUUACAGCUCCCACAGCUCAGAAGUCAGCGGAGCAGAGUCCCCAGGAAACCAGGGUCAGGGAUGGAGGCUGCUGAGGAGCGGGUCUGGGAGGUGGAGGCCAGAUACAAGUAAACCACAGUACCAGUAAAUGACAAAGGCUGGAUCUUAACCCAAGUCCUCCGACUCUGAAGGCCAUACCCAACAGGUCCCAUUUUAUUUGUUUUACUUUUUUUAAAUUGAAGAAGAAAAAAACUAGCAUUCCCCUACAGUGCCCCCCACCUGGUGGGGACAUCUUGGGUUGGCAAGGCCACCACUUUCAAGAGUAGAAGUGUUUUUCAGCAGGAGGAGUUGGCUG